Molecule: ribosomal RNA, 440 nt
Filed under: uncultured bacterium
Lineage: Bacteria
Description: partial 16S ribosomal RNA
Rfam family: Bacterial small subunit ribosomal RNA
Source: RNAcentral
CUACGGGGUGCUGCAGUGGGGAAUAUUGCACAAUGGAGGAAACUCUGAUGCAGCAACGCCGCGUGGAGGAUGAAGGUUUUCGGAGCGGAAAGUGGUUUUAUAUAGGAAGAAGAUGACGGUACUAUAUGAAUAAGCGCCGGCUAACUCCGUGCCAGCAGCCGCGGUAAUACGGAGGGCGCAAGCGUUAACUCGGAAUCACUGGGCGUAAAGAGCGUGUAGGCGGAUUAAAAAGUCAGAAGUGAAAUCCUAUAGCUUAACUAUAGAACUGCUUCUGAAACUCUUAAUCUAGAAUAUGGGAGAGGUAGAUGGAAUUUCUGGUGUAGGGGUAAAAUCCGUAGAGAUCAGAAGGAAUACCGAUUGCGAAGGCGAUCUACUAGAACAUUAUUGACGCUGAGACGCGAAAGCGUGGGGAGCAAACAGGAUUAGAUACCCUCGUAGUC